GAUGAACGCUAGCUACAGGCUUAACACAUGCAAGUCGAGGGGAAACGCUGAGAGAGCUUGCUCUCUUAGGCGUCGACCGGCGCACGGGUGAGUAACGCGUAUCCAACCUACCCAUUACAGGGGGAUAACCUUGCGAAAGUAAGACUAAUACCCCAUGGCAUUUUAUGGUGGCAUCAUUAUAGGAUUAAAGAUUUAUUGGUAAUGGAUGGGGAUGCGUCUGAUUAGCUUGUUGGCGGGGUAACGGCCCACCAAGGCAACGAUCAGUAGGGGUUCUGAGAGGAAGGUCCCCCACAUUGGAACUGAGACACGGUCCAAACUCCUACGGGAGGCAGCAGUGAGGAAUAUUGGGCAAUGGGCGAGAGCUUGAACCAGCCAAGUAGCGUGCAGGAUGACGGCCCUAUGGGUUGUAAACUGCUUUUAUAGGGGAAUAAAGUGAGCUACGUGUAGUUUAUUGCAUGUACCCUAUGAAUAAGGACCGGCUAAUUCCGUG
This 490-nucleotide ribosomal RNA is filed under the name uncultured bacterium. RNAcentral describes it as "partial 16S ribosomal RNA". It matches the Rfam family "Bacterial small subunit ribosomal RNA", at positions 28 to 507 of the family's 1533-position model. The record is from RNAcentral.